UGGGCUCAAGGCCCUAUUGACUGUGAGGACAGGCGGCAUCCGGGACCUGACAGGGCCCGUGGAGAUUGUUAUGUUUCACGAGGGAACACGACGGCUAGUUCCUAACAGCACUGAAGCCUUCAGGUUGAAGCGCUGACAUGAUGGCUGCAGCCCUCCUGGACCAGCAGGUGGAAUUUGCAAGUUGAAGAUGCUGGAGCAAUAGGAUGGGAGAGAGGGAGCCUGAGCCCUGACGUCAUGGAGCCGCCACUCCAGCCCUGGACCUACUGUACUUACGUGAGAGAGAAAUCAGCUUCAGUUUUGUUUAACUCUUUUUGUGUGUGUGUGUGAGGAGAUCAGCCCUGUGCUAACAUCUGCCAAUCCUCCUCUUUUUGCUGAGGAAGACUGGCCCUGGGCUAACAUCCAUGCCCAUCUUCCUCUACUUUAUAUGGGAUGCCUCCACAGCAUGGCUUGCCAAGCAGUGCAUUGGUGGCGCCCGGGAUCCGAACCUGCGAACCCUGGGCUGCUGCAGCGGAGUGCGCGCACUUAACCACUUGCGCCACUAGGCCGGCCCCUUUAACUCUUUCACGUGGACUUUCUGAUAUACAAUCAUAGUAUGGCUGUGAUGGUUUACUCACUCUUCAGGUUGCUCACCAAAGGCAUCCCACUCUACUUUUACAUGGUCCUUCCAGUGACAACACAGGAGUGUCAGGGAGGAGAAGCGAUGCCUCAUUAUCUGGAAAUGCUUCUCAAAAGGCAUCUGUCCCUUCUAGGUGCUAAGAGUGAGGCCAGCAGAACUACCUUCUUCCUUUAUCUCAUAGCCCUAGAACAGUACUAAGAAGGACCAGCCAUAGGGGGAAAAAACCCACUUAAGGUGGAUUUGUAAGUUCCUAAAGCCUUUUUCACCUUACAUUCCUGCUGUAACGAGUUACGUUCUUGAAAGUUGCUGAGAGUAGAUCUUAAGCAUUCUCACCACAUACACACACACACAUACACACACACACACACACACAGAGUUAACUGUGGUAUGUGAGGUGAUGGAUGUGGUAAUUACCUUGAUCUUGUAAUCAUUCUACAAUGUAUAUAUAUAUCAAAUCACUACGUUGUAUAUUUUAAAUAUAUACAGUUAUAUUUGUCAAAAAAAGAAUUACGUUCAGUUUUCAA
Molecule: long non-coding RNA, 1140 nt
Organism: Diceros bicornis minor
Lineage: Eukaryota; Metazoa; Chordata; Mammalia; Perissodactyla; Rhinocerotidae
Exons: 3
Source: RefSeq, a predicted model, not a curated record